This is an RNA transcript of Mastomys coucha (southern multimammate mouse), 537 nucleotides long. It is a transcript of the gene named small VCP interacting protein, with no coding region annotated. The transcript is spliced from 4 exons. NCBI's taxonomy places the organism in Eukaryota, Metazoa, Chordata, Mammalia, Rodentia, Muridae. The record is from RefSeq and is a predicted model, not a curated record.
CCCGUGCAAGUCUAGCUCGCGGCGGCCGUUGCAGUGCAGUCCGAGGGAAGGUGCACCUGCCGGGCCUCCUGACUGACCCUCCUGGCAGUUCUGCGGACCCUCCUUGGAUGGGAUAGUUGGGGCUGCUCUGUUUUCAGUGGCUCCUCCGGACAUGUGUCUCUUCUCCUGUCUGUACCAGUUGUACCUAGAAGGAAGAGAAAAGAGAAAAGCUGGCAGAGGCAGCAGAAAGAAGGCAGAAGGAGGCGGCGUCUCGGGGGAUUUUGGACAUCCAGUCAGUGGAGGCAAAGAAGAAGAAGAAAGAACAGUUAGAAAAGCAGAUGGAGACAUCGGGGCCACCAACGGCAGGGGGACUUAGAUGGACCGUGUCAUGAAGUGUAUCAUACCUGGAGGAAAAUCCUGCCAUCAACUCCAGCAACUGCAGUCAAUGGAUUCCGCUGAUGUCUCCUCUUUACAGAUACAGAGAGUCAGACUGUAUCAUUAGUGCCCUUUAGUACAAUCCUAAAACUAAAUAUACUAAAUACAAAAAUAUUGGUAAUA